UAAUACGUAGGGUGCAGGCGUUAAUCGGAAUUACUGGGCGUAAAGCGUGCGCAGGCGGUUUGCUAAGACAGGUGUGAAAUCCCCGGGCUUAACCUGGGAACUGCGCUUGUUACUGGCAGGCUUGAGUGUGGCAGAGGGGGGUGGAAUUCCACGUGUAGCAGUGAAAUGCGUAGAGAUGUGGAGGAACACCGAUGGCGAAGGCAGCCCCCUGGGCUAACACUGACGCUCAUGCACGAAAGCGUGGGGAGCAAACAGGAUUAGAUACCCUGGUAGUCCACGCCCUAAACUAUGUCAACUGGUUGUCGGGGAAGCAAUUCCUUGGUAACGAAGCUAACGCGUGAAGUUGACCGCCUGGGGAGUACGGCCGCAAGGUU
RNAcentral lists this ribosomal RNA (374 nucleotides) under uncultured bacterium. RNAcentral's name for it is "bacterial SSU rRNA". It matches the Rfam family "Bacterial small subunit ribosomal RNA", at positions 521 to 895 of the family's 1533-position model. The record is from RNAcentral.